Molecule: unclassified non-coding RNA, 335 nt
Filed under: soil metagenome
Description: partial contains 5.8S ribosomal RNA, internal transcribed spacer 2, and large subunit ribosomal RNA
Rfam family: 5.8S ribosomal RNA (bases 1-120)
Source: RNAcentral
GAUGAAGAACGCAGCGAAAUGCGAUAAGUAAUGUGAAUUGCAGAAUUCAGUGAAUCAUCGAAUCUUUGAACGCACAUUGCGCCCGCCAGUAUUCUGGCGGGCAUGCCUGUUCGAGCGUCAUUUCAACCAUCAAGCCCCCGGCUUGUGUUGGGGACCUGCGGCUGUCGCAGGCCCUGAAAACCAGUGGCGGGCUCGCUAGUCACUCCGAGCGUAGUAAUACAUCUCGCUCAGGGCGUGCUGCGGGUUCCGGCCGUUAAAAAGCCUUAUUUACCCAAGGUUGACCUCGGAUCAGGUAGGAAGACCCGCUGAACUUAAGCAUAUCAAUAAGCGGAGGA